This 301-nucleotide ribosomal RNA is filed under the name uncultured bacterium. Its description in RNAcentral is "partial 16S ribosomal RNA". It matches the Rfam family "Bacterial small subunit ribosomal RNA", at positions 509 to 807 of the family's 1533-position model. The record is from RNAcentral.
CAGCCGCCACGGUAAUACGUAGGUGGCAAGCGUUGUCCGGAAUUAUUGGGCGUAAAGCGCGCGCAGGUGGUUUAAUAAGUCUGAUGUGAAAGCCCACGGCUCAACCGUGGAGGGUCAUUGGAAACUGUUAAACUUGAGUGCAGGAGAGAAAAGUGGAAUUCCUAGUGUAGCGGUGAAAUGCGUAGAGAUUAGGAGGAACACCAGUGGCGAAGGCGGCUUUUUGGCCUGUAACUGACACUGAGGCGCGAAAGCGUGGGGAGCAAACAGGAUUAGAUACCCGCGUAGUCCCUGUCUCUUAUAC